AGAAAGAGGAAAGAAAACGAGAAAGAGAGACAAAGAGAGAAAAGAGAGAGAGAGAGAGAGAGAAAAUGGAAUUUCUCUAUUUCACAUGUCCUCACUUUCUUCAUUACAGAUUAAUAAACCUAUUGAAGGAUUGGGACGAACUCCUUUAAUGAUUGCCUCUGAAGUGGGCGCCGAUAGAAGAAUCAUCGACAUUUUGAUAGACGCAGGAAGCCAAAUCGGAGCGAAAGACUAUUGGUUGUACAGCUUUGCAUUGGGCUGUGUUUGGUGGUCGACCUCAUCCUGUGGAGAUCUUACUAUCUCGGGGCAGUGAGGUUAAUCCACGAGAUGAAGAUGGUCGCACACCGCUGCACUGGGCCUGUAAUUGGGGACACUUGCACACUGUCGGCAUGUUGUUGGGUCACAAUGGCAUCGAUGCCAAUGUUGUGGACAACAAUGGAGACACACCACUGCAUGAGGCAGUUCGGGGGCGAAAAUAUAAAGUGGUGUGUGCGAUGCUGAAGCAGGGUUCAGUUCAGUUCGACAUUCAAAACAAAAGGAAACGGACACCAUUGCUUGAAGCCGUUUCCCAGGGUCACCUCGGAAUGACACACAAGCUUAUAGCCCUGGGUGCAAACAUAAAUGCUGUUGAUGGUGAAGGUAACAGCUGUUUGCACCUGGCCGUGGAAAGAGAAGUGUUUGUUCCGAGGAUGCACCCUUGGAUUUACUAAACGAAUGCUGCACUUCCCUUAACCUGAAAAUAGAAGAAAGGCUCUCUGGUAUAGUGGUUGCGAGAUAUCUCGCCAGCCAGGGAGCGGACUUUCACCAUAAAACAACAAAAUAACACACCAUUGGACCUCAUUAAGGACCCAAAUUUGAGAAAAAAUUAGAAGCAUUUUUACCACCACAGUGUUUGUGGUGCAAAAAUAAAACGGCCACAAUAAAAUUUCUUCCAUGCGGGCAUUUUGUCACAUGUGAAACAUGUUCGAAAAUCUCACUUAAACGAUGUCUGAAGUGCGGGAAACCUGUAACGAGCAGAACUGGAGAUGAUACGAAAAAACUGGAGGAGAAGGAUCUCCUGAAAGUGGCACGGCAAUUGGGAAGCAAAUGGUGGCAAGUGGGUAUUUUCUUGGACAUUAAAACUUCCGAGCUGGACAUUAUCAAGCGUGACAAUAGUAAUGACAUUGUAGAACAGAGCUAUCAGAUGAUGUACAAAUGGUUCACAAGUUGUGAACCAAAGAAACGUACAGCUGAAACAAUAAAUGCAGCUCUUGAAGAAGCUGAAUGUUAUAAUGCCCUUCAAUGUCUAUCGUUGGACAAAAACUGAAUCUCUGUGUAGUUGCUGAUCUUAUUAAGUCCAAGGUCUACCUUCGCCAACAGAUACCCAUCAUCAAAUGCCUUCCAUCCAGGACCAUCCUAUCUUUAUCCAAAUUAUUGACAAGCCAUAAGCACAUUAUCCAAUGUGUCCUUGUUUAAGGUGAUAAAUUGCGAAUCAAAGAGGAUUCAGCUACUAAUUGUAGCACGUCUAUAGACCACAGAAAAACUCCCUGAAUGAUUUGGAUUUCUUGCUAAAGAUUGAGGUUUGAAAUAAAGAUAAACUUUGAAAUGUC
Molecule: long non-coding RNA, 1586 nt
Organism: Octopus sinensis (East Asian common octopus)
Lineage: Eukaryota; Metazoa; Mollusca; Cephalopoda; Octopoda; Octopodidae
Exons: 9
Source: RefSeq, a predicted model, not a curated record